This 245-nucleotide long non-coding RNA is filed under the name Gossypium barbadense (sea-island cotton). Its description in RNAcentral is "long non-coding RNA (GBAR_LNC013103)". The record is from RNAcentral. Lineage: Eukaryota; Viridiplantae; Streptophyta; Magnoliopsida; Malvales; Malvaceae.
AUUUCCAAAGCAAGCUACUGACUGACGACCGUAUCUAUAAUCAAGCGAUCAACGCCAGGUGGAUGGUAAGGAUUCGACAAACAUCCAAUGGAAGGACGACUGUGGCACACAAUAAUUGGUUGGUUCUUGAUUUUCCCGCCUUCCAGCGUAGCACACAGGUUUGCUUUUCCUUGUACUCCUUUCUCAAUAGCCGUUUCGUACAAUUUUUGGUUUUAGAGUUAAUUAUUUUAAAAACUCAAAUUACC